RNAcentral lists this ribosomal RNA (783 nucleotides) under uncultured bacterium. Its description in RNAcentral is "bacterial SSU rRNA". It matches the Rfam family "Bacterial small subunit ribosomal RNA", at positions 601 to 1397 of the family's 1533-position model. The record is from RNAcentral.
CCCGGGGCUCAACCGCGGGACUGCAUCGGAUACUGUAGAUCUGGAGUGCCGGAGGGGCAACGGAAUUCCUGGUGUAGCGGUGAAAUGCGUAGAUAUCAGGAGGAACACCGGCGGCGAAGGGGCUUGCUGGACGGCAACUGACGUUGAGGCUCGAAAGCGUGGGGAGCAAACAGGAUUAGAACCCUGGUAGUCCACGCUGUAAACGAUGAAUACUAGGUGUGGGCAUGCAAGGCAUGUCCGGCCGCAGCUAACGCAAUAAGUAUUCCACCUGGGGAGUACGUUCGCAAGAAUGAAACUCAAGGAAUUGACGGGGACCCGCACAAGCGGUGGAGCAUGUGGUUUAAUUCGAAGCAACGCGAAAACCUUACCAGGCCUUGACAUCGUGAUGACCGCUCCUUAAUCGGAGCUUCCCUUCGGGGCUCACAGACAGGUGGUGCAUGGUUGUCGUCAGCUCGUGUCGUGAGAUGUUGGGUUAAGUCCGCAACGAGCGCAACCCCUGCCUGUAGUAGCCAGCAUGUAAAGAUGGGCACUCUACAGGGAUGCCGGGGUCAACCCGGAGGAAGGUGGGGAUGACGUCAAAUCAUCAUGCCCCUUACGGCCGGGCGACACACGUGCUACAAUGGCACAACAAAGAGAAGCGAGCCCGCGAGGGGGAGCAAACUCAAAAAUAGUGUCCCAGUUCGGACUGUAGUCUGCAACCCGACUACACGAAGCCGGAAUGCUAGUAAUCGCGGAUCAGAAUGCCGCGGUGAAUACGUUCCCGGGUCUUGCACACACCGCCGU